RNAcentral lists this small RNA (495 nucleotides) under Pongo abelii (Sumatran orangutan). RNAcentral describes it as "retained intron". Lineage: Eukaryota; Metazoa; Chordata; Mammalia; Primates; Hominidae. The record is from RNAcentral.
GUUAGCAGGACUGUGAGAUGAACAAAACGUUCUGGAAAGUGGGUGUGAGGGUCAGAUGUGGAGGGAGUGAAAUCUUCCCAGGGAGAGAGCGUCUCUGGGUCAACCUGCUCCUGCUGGGCUGGGAGGGCUGAACACCCCCCACGCAUCACCCCAGGCUGGCCCUGACCCCAGCCUUCCCUGUGCCUGCAGCACCGGCAGCUGCUGAAGGACAGCUUCAUGGUGGAGCUGGUGGAGGGGGCCCGCAAGCUGCGCCACGUCUUCCUCUUCACCGACCUGCUUCUCUGCACCAAGCUCAAGAAGCAGAGCGGAGGCAAAACGCAGCAGUAUGACUGCAAAUGGUACAUUCCGCUCACGGAUCUCAGCUUCCAGAUGGUGGAUGAAUCGGAGGCAGUGCCCAACAUCCCCCUGGUGCCGGACGAGGAGCUGGACGCUUUGAAGAUCAAGAUCUCCCAGAUCAAAAGUGACAUCCAGAGAGAGAAGAGGGCGAACAAGGGC